This 349-nucleotide long non-coding RNA is filed under the name Musa acuminata (dwarf banana). Its description in RNAcentral is "long non-coding RNA (MACU_LNC011712)". The record is from RNAcentral. Lineage: Eukaryota; Viridiplantae; Streptophyta; Magnoliopsida; Zingiberales; Musaceae.
GGGCGCCUACGAUCACAAUUCAAAAUCCGUCCGUCGAUGACCUUAACGUCAAACCUGCUGCAAUUCUCAAUAGGUAAGGCCAUCUGGAUAGUAACCUUACUAUUUAGAAAGUUAUUAGAACUGCUCGUGUCGAUGAGAACAGUGAUCGGUUGUUGUUUGAGAAGGCCUCCAACUUUCAUCGUUUGCGGGUUUGAGUAGUCGGCUAGUGCAUGUACCGUAACUUCAGUCGGUUGUGGCUCUUCUUCUGCAUCUUCUUCUUCAUGUUCAAGGCUCUCUUCUGGAUGUUCAAUGACCUCUUCUUCUAUUGGUUCAAUCAUAAGAAGUCUCCCUUUACUACAGCGAUGCUCAC